UAAAGAAGAAUUGAAGAAAGGUGUCAUUUCUCGUCAACCCUCCGUUAGACUCCAAGUAUUUGGUACUGUAAUGGUUAGUGGAUUCAGAUUCAUCCAAGAAAAAUGUUAGGUUAUGAUGAUGGUUCUACGUUAUUUAAUUUCUUCCUAAUUCCUAAAUAUUUUGGUCUGACGCUAGGCCGGUGAGUUUCUGAUGAUGCUUAUGUAGACUAUAUACCCAUUCAUAAUGUAAAACAAUAAUUCAUUGAUUUGAAUAUCAUGCAAUUUCGAAUAUAUAUACAGACAUAUAUAUACAUAACUGAAUAUUUUCAUACAAUGGUAAAUGCGGUAAUAUCCUCAAUUAAUACGUUAAUAUUAGAUAUAAAUUGGUUUUCAAAUGGAUUUAGAACUCUGACCAUUUGUGUCAAAUUAAGUGACCAUACGUUAAUUAACGGACAAAUCUCCAAAAUAGCAUCUUUCUAAGUUUAUAUCACAAAAAUAACACUCAAAAACUAAAAUGACCAAAAUAGCACAUUUCUAAGUUUAUCCCUUGAAAAUUUUAAUUUUUUUAUUUUUCAAAAUUUGAAAUCUUAUCUCC
RNAcentral lists this long non-coding RNA (574 nucleotides) under Brassica napus (rape). Its description in RNAcentral is "long non-coding RNA (BNAP_LNC019196)". Lineage: Eukaryota; Viridiplantae; Streptophyta; Magnoliopsida; Brassicales; Brassicaceae. The record is from RNAcentral.